This 405-nucleotide ribosomal RNA is filed under the name uncultured bacterium. RNAcentral describes it as "bacterial SSU rRNA". It matches the Rfam family "Bacterial small subunit ribosomal RNA", at positions 355 to 776 of the family's 1533-position model. The record is from RNAcentral.
UAGGGAAUAUUGCACAAUGGGCGAAAGCCUGAUGCAGCAACGCCGCGUGCGCGAUGAAGGCCUUCGGGUUGUAAAGCGCUUUUCGGGGAGACGAGGAAGGACGGUAUCCCCGGAAUAAGGCUCGGCUAACUACGUGCCAGCAGCCGCGGUAAAACGUAGGAGCCAAGCGUUAUCCGAAUUCACUGGGCGUAAAGCGCGUGCAGGCGGUAUGGCAAGUUGGAUGUGAAAUCUCCCGGCUCAACUGGGAGAGGCCGUUCAAUACUGCCAAACUAGAGGGCGACAGAGGGAGGUGGAAUUCCGGGUGUAGUGGUGAAAUGCGUAGAUAUCCGGAGGAACACCAGAGGCGAAGGCGACCUCCUGGGUCGCACCUGACGCUGAGAUGCGAAAGCUAGGGGAGCAAACGGG